UGCAUUUCUUUCAGUAAGCGUCCACUGAUGUUAUCUGGGCCGGUAGCUUUAUGUGGGUUGAUCUUAUUUAAGAGCUUUUUUGAUCCCGUUUGAUGUUAUGUGUAAUUCACUGAUUUUAGGGUGUGAACUGACGCCUUUGUUUGGUAUUGGGUCAUUUGUUACUGGGGUAAAUACAGAUUGAAACUGUUCGUUUAGAAGAUUUGCUUUCUCUGUAGCGUCUGUAAUGGUGAUGCCGUCUUUCUUUAGUGCAGAGAUACCAGAUUUGUCAGUUCUUAUUGACUUGAUGUAUUGAAAAAGUUUUUUAGGUUUGCUCUGAUUUUGUAUUUGAAUGUCUGGUUCAUUGAUGGGAAGAUCACAUAUGAGUUUUUCAAUAUAUUCCCAGUAGGCCUUUCUUUGUUCUUUUUGUACCUGAGCUUUCAUCUUUUUAUAUUUCUCGGUGUAUUCGCUGUUUUUUCGCCUUUUGAAAAGUUUGUUUUUCUUGUUAAUUUGACGUCUUAAUUUAUCAGAUAUCCACGGUAAUCGGUGUUUGUUUCGUAGGAUCUUUGAUGGAAUAUGUUUUUCGACAGAGCUGAUGAGUUUGGUUUUAAAUAGUUCCCAUAGCUCAUUGGUGUUAAGAGAAUCAUAGUUGUCAAUGAUUGUUUUUAGAUGAUACCUAUGUCAAAUUUAAUUUCGUCCCAGUUGGCUUUGUUAUACUUGUAUACUUUUUGUGGGGUUUCUCUUAUUUUCUUAAGC
RNAcentral lists this long non-coding RNA (732 nucleotides) under Mytilus galloprovincialis (Mediterranean mussel). The record is from RNAcentral. Lineage: Eukaryota; Metazoa; Mollusca; Bivalvia; Mytilida; Mytilidae.